This 500-nucleotide ribosomal RNA is filed under the name uncultured bacterium. Its description in RNAcentral is "bacterial SSU rRNA". It matches the Rfam family "Bacterial small subunit ribosomal RNA", at positions 30 to 504 of the family's 1533-position model. The record is from RNAcentral.
CGAACGCUGGCGGCGUGCCUAACACAUGCAAGUCGAACGUGAAAGCGGACUUCGGUCCGUCGGUAGCGUGGCAGACGGGUGAGUAACACGUGGGUAACCUACCCAGAGGUGGGGGAUAACCCUUCGAAAGGAGGGCUAAUACCGCAUAACAUCCCGAGGUCUUCGGGCUUCGGGAUCAAAGCUAGCCUCUACUUGUAAGCUAGCGCCACUGGAGGGGCCCGCGUCCCAUUAGCUUGUUGGUGAGGUAAAGGCUCACCAAGGCCACGAUGGGUAGCCGGCCUGAGAGGGCGAUCGGCCACACUGGAACUGAGACACGGUCCAGACUCCUACGGGAGGCAGCAGUGAGGAAUCUUGCGCAAUGGGCGAAAGCCUGACGCAGCGACGCCGCGUGGAGGAUGAAGGCCUUCGGGUCGUAAACUCCUGUCGAGAGGGACGAAAGUCGGGGAGGUCAAUAGCCUCUUCGGUUGACGGUACCUCCAAAGGAAGCCCCGGCUAACUCC